RNAcentral lists this ribosomal RNA (433 nucleotides) under uncultured bacterium. Its description in RNAcentral is "partial 16S ribosomal RNA". It matches the Rfam family "Bacterial small subunit ribosomal RNA", at positions 29 to 507 of the family's 1533-position model. The record is from RNAcentral.
AACGAACGCUUGCGUCAUGCCUAACACAUGCAAGUCGAACGAGACCUUCGGGUCUAGUGGCGCACGGGUGCGUAACGCGUGGGAACCUGCCCUUAGGUUCGGAAUAACUCCCCGAAAGGGGUGCUAAUACCGGAUAAUGUCUUCGGACCAAAGAUUUAUCGCCUUUGGAUGGGCCCGCGUUGGAUUAGCUAGUUGGUAGGGUAAAAGCCUACCAAGGCGACGAUCCAUAGCUGGUCUGAGAGGAUGAUCAGCCACACUGGGACUGAGACACGGCCCAGACUCCUACGGGAGGCAGCAGUGGGGAAUAUUGGACAAUGGGCGAAAGCCUGAUCCAGCAAUGCCGCGUGAGUGAUGAAGGCCUUAGGGUUGUAAAGCUCUUUUACCCGGGAUGAUAAUGACAGUACCGGGAGAAUAAGCUCCGGCUAACUCCGUG